AGAGUUUGAUCCUGGCUCAGGACGAACGCUGGCGGCGUGCUUAACACAUGCAAGUCGAACGGAAUCCAUGGUGUAGCAAUACAUCGGAAGAUUUAGUGGCGAACGGGUGAGGAUCACGUGAGAAACGUGCCCCAGACUCUGGGAUAACAAUUGGAAACGAUUGCUAAUACCGGAUGACGUCGGAGAAUCGCAUGAUUCACUGACGAAAGAUAUUUCGGUUUGGGAGCGUCUCGCGGCCUAUCAGCUUGUUGGUGGGGUAAUGGCCUACCAAGGCAACGACGGGUAGCUGGUCUGAGAGGAUGAUCAGCCACACUGGGACUGAGACACGGCCCAGACUCCUACGGGAGGCAGCAGUGGGGAAUCUUGCGCAAUGGGCGAAAGCCUGACGCAGCAACGCCGCGUGCGGGAUGAAGGCCUUCGGGCUGUAAACCGCUUUCAGCAGGAACGAAAAUGACGGUACCUGCAGAAGAAGGAGCGGCCAACUACGUGCCAGCAGCCGCGGUGACACGUAGGCUCCAAGCGUUGUCCGGAUUUAUUGGGCGUAAAGAGCUCGUAGGCGGUUGAGUAAGUCGGGUGUGAAAACUCUGGGCUUAACCCGGAGACGCCAUCCGAUACUGCUCUGACUAGAGUUCAGGAGGGGAGUGGGGAAUUCCUAGUGUAGCGGUGAAAUGCGCAGAUAUUAGGAGGAACACCGGUGGCGANNNCGCCACUCUGGACUGAAACUGACGCUGNNNNGCGAAAGCAUGGGUAGCAAACAGGAUUAGAUACCCUGGUAGUCCAUGCCGUAAACGGUGGGCACUAG
This 802-nucleotide ribosomal RNA is filed under the name uncultured bacterium. RNAcentral describes it as "bacterial SSU rRNA". It matches the Rfam family "Bacterial small subunit ribosomal RNA", at positions 8 to 819 of the family's 1533-position model. The record is from RNAcentral.